CCUACGGGGGGCUGCAGUGGGGGAUAUUGCACAAUGGGGGGAACCCUGAUGCAGCGACGCCGCGUGGGUGAAGAAGCGCCUCGGCGCGUAAAGCCCUGUCAGCAGGGAAGAAAAUGACGGUACCUGAAGAAGAAGCCCCGGCUAACUACGUGCCAGCAGCCGCGGGAAUACGGAGGGGGCCAGCGUUAACCGGAUUUACUGGGUGUAAAGGGGGCGCAGACGGCGAUGCAAGCCAGGAGUGAAGGCCCGGGGCCCAACCCCGGGACUGCUCUUGGAACUGCGUGGCUGGAGUGCAGGAGGGGCAGGCGGAAUUCCUGGUGUAGCGGUGAAAUGCGUAGAUAUCAGGAGGAACACCGGUGGCGAAGGCGGCCUGCUGGACUGCAACUGACGUUGAGGCCCGAAAGCGUGGGGAGCAAACAGGAUUAGAUACCCGAGUAGUC
Molecule: ribosomal RNA, 440 nt
Filed under: uncultured bacterium
Lineage: Bacteria
Description: partial 16S ribosomal RNA
Rfam family: Bacterial small subunit ribosomal RNA
Source: RNAcentral